This 2645-nucleotide long non-coding RNA is filed under the name Sorghum bicolor (sorghum). RNAcentral's name for it is "long non-coding RNA (SBIC_LNC005037)". Lineage: Eukaryota; Viridiplantae; Streptophyta; Magnoliopsida; Poales; Poaceae. The record is from RNAcentral.
GUGGCUUCUGGAGUCUUCUAGAUGAUAGAAAAUUGCGCGACACGUUAAUAUCUCUAUGUAAACCCGACGUGUGGGCCUUUCUUCCGUAUUUCCUGAUAACCCUCUGCAGAAAUAGACAAACACCAAAACUCGUGGAAUUCUGUCAGAUAAAACCCUAAGUCUAGGUGUUGGUUCCAUUUAGAUCCUUUUCUAUGAUUAGUUGAUGGUUAAAUGUGAGCAUUAAGGACCGUCAACAAGCUCCCCCAAGCUUAACCUUUGCUCGUCCCUGAGCAAAGAUGGACUCAAGAGUUUCUGCAGUGGUUUCAUAACUUAAAGAUACACAUGCGUUUAAACAAGAUCUCAUCUCUGGUUAGAGUAAACUGUUAAGACCUAAAACUUACUCAUUUACCUUUCACCAUGGGACUUGUAACCGUCACUUCUAUCUUGAGCAGUUAAAAGAUAGAACGUUCUAGUCAAGCGCCAUGUCUCUAGUUCUACGAUUAACUAUAGCUCUGGAGUUUUUGCAGAUUUUCAAAUAAAACUCAAAGAUUCCUUGUAUGACUCUCUCUAGUCUCUCGUUUGUGAUAUUUCUGGAUCCUUACCAAGGCAGUAAUGGUAUACGCCUUCUCUCAAAAUCUAUAGUAUUUAUGGUAUAAAGCAUAGUGGCAUUGCCUUCUCUCUCACCCUACUCUAAUAAGGCUUUAAUAUCUGGAGCUCAUAUAGGUGGGAGAUAAAGUGUACAUACUUACAAGACAUGUAUUGUAUAGUCAAACCAUGGAUCCAAAGAAACAAAUCAAUAAGUCAAAUCAAGAUGUGCAUGUGUGGCGAAUGAAUGGUGUAUGGUGAUGAUGGUGAUAACAAUGGUGAAAGUCUAAUUCUACUUAUGCUCUUUUGAGGGGAUACAUACCUUUCUUGCUCUUUUGAAACUUUUUGAGGAGAAUGAGAUGCUCUAUAUUUUUGUUUUCUUUUCUCUCAGGUGGGUAUCUUGUACCCCUAAUUCUACUGUCGGACACUUGUCCAUUUUUACCUCUCAUCUCACUUUUUUUUUCUUUUCUUUCGAGGUUCCGGGCACUUGCCCCUUUUUAUUUCCUCGUAUUUAUUAUUAUUUUUAUUUUUUAGAGCACUCAUCUCCUGAAAUAUAUAGCAAGUGGUAGUAACCAAGAUAACUUGAGCAUUUAUUUCACAAGGGAAAAACAGAAAUGUUUUUGGCUAUUCUCUCCCGGAUUAGGAGUAGAAUAUUUUUGGGUGGUUCUGGAGAUGGAAAUGGGUUGAUGUAUGUGGAUGCGUACUUCCAGAGUAGAAGCAGCAUGUAUGAGUGAACGUGCAAGUGAAUCUUGACUUAACCACAUGACAAGCUCCUAAGGGUCUACACAGCUUGACCACACUCAAUGCUCAUAAGCAGUAAAAAGUAAAUGUGUGGCUCAAAGUCUAGCAAGCAUGUAUAUAUGGCUGUGGUAGGAAUUUAAACUCUCAUCAUACAGGAACUCGUCAUGCAACAUUUUAAAGAUUUUUAAAGAUAAAAUUCUCCAGAAUUCUAGCAUCUCUAGGAACAGAUAAACAACAACUCAACCUUCCCAUAUCAUAUCCGUUAACGACUUAGACUUUAGAUAAAAUACUCUCCCCACAAGUUCAGGUUUAGAGCAAAUCUUAAUUAAUACCUGUCAUGCCUAAACUUGAGAGAGAUUUCAGUUUUGAGAAUUAGUCAUGGCAGAGCAACUAUUCAUCAUUUCCAUGUGAGAGCUUAUCAUGAGGGUUCAUAGCAAAUUUUAUUUAUUUAUUUAUUUAGCAAACUAAGCAAAGAUAUAUAUAAGCACAAAAUCUUUAUUUGGGUUUUUAUGAUUGUGCAUCUUUUUUAUUAUUUAAGUAAAGUAUAAACAUGAGUAGAGCACUUAGCUGGAUAAAUGGGGUUGCUCUCCCCCAAGCUGGGUUUUGACGUAAUUCCUUCUGAUGUAGCUAGCAGGUGGCGGAGGUGUAUUUGAAUGUGGCAGCACCCUGACAGCGAUUAGGAUGUCCUCUGUCUGCUAGUCUUCUUUGAUCCUUGAAUUCUGUGGAGCUCAAAUAGACAACAAAGCUUUGUGGAACUAGUUAAGUGUUAGCAUAAAUAUCUAGCCUUUAUCAUGUUGAGCCUCCUCUAUAAAUGCUACUCUCUUUAGUAGGAUCAUAAAUUUAUUUUUAUAUUUUCAUUUUUAUAGGACAGGAAUAUAUAUAUUUAUUUUUACGCCACCACAGUGAAUGUACUUAUGGGUUUUAUGCCAUGAGCAUACUCAUAUGGGGCUUACUAUUUUUAACAUUUUUAUUUUCUUUUCAAGAUAGCAUGAACCUGAUUAACUAAGCAAACUAUUUUAAAUAAUUGAAAGGAGAAGGAUAACUACCAAGUUUACCUCUUGGCAAGGCGUUCGGUGUUUUUAAGUCCUCCGAACGGGACUCUCCGUAUUCUCAGUCGUCCUGGGAUUCGCUGGAUGGCGUAGUCGGUGGUUCCGGCGGUGCCUGCUCUUCGUGUAUAACUAUCUUCUCUCUCCACACCUGACUCGGUGCUACGGUCUCCUUAGGACAGUUCUGUUCAAGUUGUAUGUCUUCAGACAUUACCACUUCUCCUUCAUAGUCUGCCCAUCCAUCCUUUAUGAUUUUCCUCCUCUGGUUACGGUUGCGUCGUCUUCUUCUUGUCC